RNAcentral lists this ribosomal RNA (462 nucleotides) under uncultured bacterium. RNAcentral describes it as "partial 16S ribosomal RNA". It matches the Rfam family "Bacterial small subunit ribosomal RNA", at positions 28 to 506 of the family's 1533-position model. The record is from RNAcentral.
GAUGAACGCUGACAGAAUGCUUAACACAUGCAAGUCGAUGGGGAAGUGGUGCUUGCACCAUGGUAACCAUGGCGGACGGGUGAGUAACGCGUAAGGAACUUGCCUGCGGGACUGGGAUAACAGCAGGAAACUGCUGAUAAUACCGGAUAAGGUCAUUAAGCUGCAUAGCUUAGUGAUGAAAGGAGACGCCUGCGGAGAGCCUUGCGUCCUAUUAGCUAGUUGGAGGGGUAACGGCCCACCAAGGCGAAGAUAGGUAGCCGGCCUGAGAGGGUGGACGGCCACAAGGGGACUGAGAUACGGCCCUUACUCCUACGGGAGGCAGCAGUGGGGAAUAUUGGACAAUGGGGGCAACCCUGAUCCAGCAAUUCUGUGUGCACGAAGACGGUUUUCGGAUUGUAAAGUGCUUUCAGCAGGGAAGAGGGAAGUGACGGUACCUGCAGAAGAAGCGACGGCUAAAUACGU